This 22-nucleotide microRNA is filed under the name Danio rerio (zebrafish). RNAcentral describes it as "dre-miR-27c-5p". Its record names the gene dre-miR-27c-5p. Lineage: Eukaryota; Metazoa; Chordata; Actinopteri; Cypriniformes; Danionidae. The record is from miRBase by way of RNAcentral.
CUUAACCCACUUGUGAACAAUG